GACGAACGCUGGCGGCGUGCUUAACACAUGCAAGUCGAACGAAGAGCGAUGGAAGCUUGCUUCUAUCAAUCUUAGUGGCGAACGGGUGAGUAACGCGUAAUCAACCUGCCCUUCAGAGGGGGACAACAGUUGGAAACGACUGCUAAUACCGCAUACGAUCUAACCUCGGCAUCGAGGAUAGAUGAAAGGUGGCCUCUACAUGUAAGCUAUCACUGAAGGAGGGGAUUGCGUCUGAUUAGCUAGUUGGAGGGGUAACGGCCCACCAAGGCGAUGAUCAGUAGCCGGUCUGAGAGGAUGAACGGCCACAUUGGGACUGAGACACGGCCCAGACUCCUACGGGAGGCAGCAGUGGGGAAUCUUCCGCAAUGGACGAAAGUCUGACGGAGCAACGCCGCGGGAGUGAUGACGGCCUUCGGGUUGUAAAGCUCUGUUAAUCGGGACGAAAGGCCUUCUUGCGAAUAGUUAGAAGGAUUGACGGUACCGGAUGAGAAAGCCACGGCUAACUACGUG
RNAcentral lists this ribosomal RNA (510 nucleotides) under uncultured bacterium. Its description in RNAcentral is "partial 16S ribosomal RNA". It matches the Rfam family "Bacterial small subunit ribosomal RNA", at positions 28 to 507 of the family's 1533-position model. The record is from RNAcentral.